ACGUACGCUGGCGGCACGCCUAACACAUGCAAGUCGAACGAAGUAGCAAUACUUAGUGGCAGACGGGUGAGUAACAUGUAGGUAUCUGCCCUAUGGCCUGGAAUAACACGAGGAAACUUGUGCUAAUACCGGAUAAGUCUUUACAGAGAAAGCUUUAUGCACCAUUGGAUGAGCCUGCACUUGAUUAGUUUGUUGGUGGGGUAAUGGCCUACCAAGACUGUGAUCAAUAGCUGAUUUGAGAGGAUGAUCAGCCACAUUGGGACUGAGACACGGCCCAAACUCCUACGGGAGGCAGCAGUGGGGAAUCUUGCACAAUGGAGGAAACUCUGAUGCAGCGAUGCCGCGUGAGUGAAGAAGGCCUUUGGGUUGUAAAGCUCUUUCGUCGGGGAAGAAAAUGACUGUACCCGAAUAAGAAGGUCCGGCUAACUUCGUGCCAGCAGCCGCGGUAAUACGAAGGGACCUAGCGUAGUUCGGAAUUACUGGGCUUAAAGAGUUCGUAGGUGGUUGAAAAAGUUGGUGGUGAAAUCCCAGAGCUUAACUCUGGAACUGCCAUCAAAACUUUUCAGCUAGAGUUUGAUAGAGGAAAGCAGAAUUUCUAGUGUAGAGGUGAAAUUCGUAGAUAUUAGAAAGAAUACCAAUUGCGAAGGCAGCUUUCUGGAUCAUUACUGACACUGAGGAACGAAAGCAUGGGUAGCGAAGAGGAUUAGAUACCCUCGUAGUCCAUGCCGUAAACGAUGUGUGUUAGACGUUGGAAAUUUAUUUUCAGUGUCGCAGCGAAAGCGAUAAACACACCGCCUGGGGAGUACGACCGCAAGGUUAAAACUCAAAUGAAUUGACGGGGACCCGCACAAGUAGUGGAGCAUGUGGUUUAAUUCGAAGAUACGCGCAGAACCUUACCAACACUUGACAUGUUCGUCGCGACUUUAAGAGAUUAAAGUUUUCGGUUCGGCCGGACGAAACACAGGUGCUGCAUGGCUGUCGUCAGCUCGUGUCGUGAGAUGUUGGGUUAAGUCCCGCAACGAGCGCAACCCUCACUUUUAGUUGCCAUCAUUUAGUUGGGCACUCUGAAAGAACUGCCAGUGAUAAGCUGGAGGAAGGUGGGGAUGACGUCAAGUCCUCAUGGCCCUUACGUGUUGGGCUACACACGUGCUACAAUGGUAUCUACAACAGGAAGCAAGACGGCGACGUUAAGCAAAUCCCUAAAAGAUACCUCAGUUCGGAUUGCACUCUGCAACUCGAGUGCAUGAAGCUGGAAUUACUAGUAAUCGUGGAUCAGCGUGCCACGGUGAAUGCGUUCCCGGGUCUUGUACACACCGCCCGUCAAG
Molecule: ribosomal RNA, 1325 nt
Filed under: uncultured Alphaproteobacteria bacterium
Lineage: Bacteria; Pseudomonadati; Pseudomonadota; Alphaproteobacteria
Description: bacterial SSU rRNA
Rfam family: Bacterial small subunit ribosomal RNA
Source: RNAcentral